GCUGGGCGCAGUGGCGUAUGCCUAUAGUCCCAGCUACUCAGGAGGCUGAGGUGGGAGGAUUGCUUGAGCAUGGGAGGAUGAGGCUGCAGUGAGCUGUGAUCACUGCACUCCAGCCCGAGCAACAAAGCAACAUCCUAUCUCAA
Molecule: small RNA, 143 nt
Filed under: Papio anubis (olive baboon)
Lineage: Eukaryota; Metazoa; Chordata; Mammalia; Primates; Cercopithecidae
Also listed under: 1 other name
Description: Metazoan signal recognition particle RNA (ENSPANG00000038958.1)
Source: Rfam by way of RNAcentral